UAUACAGUGAAGGUGAAGCACUGUCCACGUGUUGAAGAACACCCACAACAUCCUUUGAUAGCCUGUAUAUGAGACAGCGCUAGUAUAACUCUUAUCUGUUAAAGUAAUUUAUUUCAUUCUUUUUACAAUUUUUUUUGUAUCGUAGUUCUCAGUAGUGUGUAAUGUAUCCGAUUUCAUAGAGGUCACAGCCUUUUAACACGUGUUUAAACUGUAUUAUAUAUUAAUAGGUUGGUGCAUUUUUGGUGCAUAUUUUGUUGGCAAUAUAGGUCAGGUAAACAAGUAGAAUUUAUUAGAUCAAAUUAUUUGUGCAUAGUUGGUGCAUUCUUGGUGACAAAUAUUUAUACAAGGACUCUGUUUUAGAGAUGAAUGAAUUGAAGGCGAGAAGGAAUAUUAAAUACAAUAUGAAACGUUCGAAAGGAUUAUGUUUGUCUAUGCAGAUUUUGGCAGAUAUUGGGAGGACUAUAGUUGUGCUACAUUAUUAUUC
RNAcentral lists this long non-coding RNA (484 nucleotides) under Mytilus galloprovincialis (Mediterranean mussel). Lineage: Eukaryota; Metazoa; Mollusca; Bivalvia; Mytilida; Mytilidae. The record is from RNAcentral.